CGCGAAAUUCUCAUUGGUCAGAUGCUAUAAUUUAAAUGUUUCCGCUGAGCUCUAUAUAUGUCAACUGCUGAAAUUAUGCACAUAAAACACAUUAACUGAUCAAAUUGGUCUUGUCCGUCUUACCUCAAAGCACGAAAUGUUCUGUUUUGAGAAAACAGUAUUUAAAACAUUUGAACUUUUGCUUGAAUAUCUUAUAUUUCGAAAAACAGUAUAAACUGUACGGUCUAAAUUUAGUUUGCACGGUCU
Non-coding RNA from Paramuricea clavata, 246 nucleotides. The record is from the annotation of a GenBank genome assembly. Lineage: Eukaryota; Metazoa; Cnidaria; Anthozoa; Malacalcyonacea; Plexauridae.